UGCAGAGGUGGCAAGCGUUGUUCGGAAUUACUGGGCGUAAAGGGCGCGUAGGCGGCCAUCUAAGUCAGACGUGAAAUCCCCCGGCUUAACCUGGGAACUGCGUCUGAUACUGGAAGGCUUGAGUAUGGGAGAGGGAUGUAGAAUUCCAGGUGUAGCGGUGAAAUGCGUAGAUAUCUGGAGGAAUACCCGUGGCGAAGGCGGCAUCCUGGACCAUUACUGACGCUGAGGCGCGAAAGCUAGGGGAGCAAACGGG
Molecule: ribosomal RNA, 253 nt
Filed under: uncultured bacterium
Lineage: Bacteria
Description: partial 16S ribosomal RNA
Rfam family: Bacterial small subunit ribosomal RNA
Source: RNAcentral